UACGUAGGGUGCAAGCGUUGUCCGGAAUUAUUGGGCGUAAAGAGCUCGUAGGCGGUUUGUCGCGUCGAAUGUGAAAACCCGGGGCUCAACCCCGGGCCUGCAUUCGAUACGGGCAGACUAGAGUUCGGUAGGGGAGUCUGGAAUUCCUGGUGUAGCGGUGAAAUGCGCAGAUAUCAGGAGGAACACCGGUGGCGAAGGCGGUACUCUGGGCCGAUACUGACGCUGAGGAGCGAAAGCGUGGGGAGCAAACAGG
RNAcentral lists this ribosomal RNA (253 nucleotides) under uncultured bacterium. RNAcentral's name for it is "partial 16S ribosomal RNA". It matches the Rfam family "Bacterial small subunit ribosomal RNA", at positions 524 to 776 of the family's 1533-position model. The record is from RNAcentral.